ACCCGCACAAGCAGCGGAGCAUGUGGUUUAAUUCGAAGCAACGCGAAGAACCUUACCAGGGCUUGACAUCCCCUGACCGCGUAUGAAAGUACGUUUUCACCCUCGGGUGACAGGGAGACAGGUGGUGCAUGGUUGUCGUCAGCUCGUGUCGUGAGAUGUUGGGUUAAGUCCCGCAACGAGCGCAACCCCUACGUUUAGUUGCUAACGCGUGAAGGCGAGCACUCUAGACGAACUGCCGUUGACAAAACGGAGGAAGGUGGGGAUGACGUCAAAUCAUCAUGCCCCUUAUGUUCUGGGCUACACACGUGCUACAAUGCCCACUACAAAGCGAGGCCACCCGGCAACGGGGAGCUAAUCGCAAAAAGGUGGGCCCAGUUCGGAUUGGGGUCUGCAACCCGACCCCAUGAAGCCGGAAUCGCUAGUAAUCGCGGAUCAGCCAUGCCGCGGUGAAUACGUUCCCGGGCCUU
This 467-nucleotide ribosomal RNA is filed under the name uncultured Pelotomaculum sp. RNAcentral's name for it is "bacterial SSU rRNA". It matches the Rfam family "Bacterial small subunit ribosomal RNA", at positions 919 to 1382 of the family's 1533-position model. Lineage: Bacteria; Bacillati; Bacillota; Clostridia; Eubacteriales; Desulfotomaculaceae. The record is from RNAcentral.